GCUACAUCACGUUGAAAACACCGAUUCCCGUACGAUCACCGUAGUUAAACAACGUCGUGUCAGAUCAAUACCUAGAUGGGUGAUCACUUCGGAAUACCAGAUGCUGUAAG
Non-coding RNA from Acanthosepion pharaonis, 110 nucleotides. Lineage: Eukaryota; Metazoa; Mollusca; Cephalopoda; Sepiida; Sepiidae. The record is from the annotation of a GenBank genome assembly.